CUCUCAAACCCCUGUGCACUUUUUGUAGGCUUGGUGGGAUAGGCUGACUUCGGUCGGCUUUGAAUGCCUCGCCUAUGUAUUAAAACAAACGCUUCAGUUUAGAAUGUAACCUUGCAUAAUAAGCAAAUAAAUACAACUUUCAGCAACGGAUCUCUUGGCUCUCGCAUCGAUGAAGAACGCAGCGAAAUGCGAUAAGUAAUGUGAAUUGCAGAAUUCAGUGAAUCAUCGAAUCUUUGAACGCACCUUGCGCUCCUUGGUAUUCCGAGGAGCAUGCCUGUUUGAGUGUCAUGGUAUCAUCAACCUUCAACACUUUUGUGUCUGUAGGCUUGGACUUGGAGGUCGUGUCGGCGUUCGCGUCGGCUCCUCUGAAAUGCAUUAGCGUGAAUCUUACGAAUCGCCCUCGGUGUGAUAAUUUCUACGCCGUAGACGUGCAGUAUAUAGUGUUCGUGCUUACAACCGUCUGCAAAGACAACAUCAUUGACAAUCUGACCUCAAAUCAGGUAGGACUACCCGCUGAACUUAAGCAUAUCAAUAAGCGGAGGAAAAGAAACUAACAAGGAUUCCCCUAGUAACUGCGAGUGAAGCGGGAAAAGCUCAAAUUUAAAAUCUGGCGGUCUUCGAUCGUCCGAGUUGUAGUCUGGAGAAGCGUCUUCCGCGCUGGACCGUGUACAAGUCUCUUGGAACAGAGCGUCGUAGAGGGUGAGAAUCCCGUCUUUGACACGGACUACCAGUGCUUUGUGAUGCGCUCUCAAAGAGUCGAGUUGUUUGGGAAUGCAGCUCAAAA
This 784-nucleotide ribosomal RNA is filed under the name Phlebia cf. radiata RG-2014. Its description in RNAcentral is "eukaryotic LSU rRNA". The stretch from base 487 to 784 matches the Rfam family "Eukaryotic large subunit ribosomal RNA", at positions 1 to 292 of the family's 3401-position model. The record is from RNAcentral. Lineage: Eukaryota; Fungi; Basidiomycota; Agaricomycetes; Polyporales; Meruliaceae.